CACCAGCGCCACAAGUGGCAAUCACGUUUAUUGGGCCUAAAGCGUCCGUAGUCGGUCUUGUAAAUCUCUUGUGAAAUCGUUGCGCUCAACGUAACGGCGUGCAGGGGACACUCCAAGACUUGGAACCGGGAGGAGUCAGAGGUAUUAUGGGGGGAGCGGUAAAAUGUUAUAAUCCCUGUAAGACCACCUGUGGCGAAGGCGUCUGACUAGAACGGGUUCGACGAUGAGGGACGAAAGCUAGGGGAGCAAACCG
Molecule: ribosomal RNA, 253 nt
Filed under: uncultured archaeon
Lineage: Archaea
Description: partial 16S ribosomal RNA
Rfam family: Archaeal small subunit ribosomal RNA
Source: RNAcentral